CGGAGCAAGUGUCCCUAAGCUGCUUCUUGAUUAUGUCUUCUCUGCUUCAUCAAGCCACCACCGGAGCUUCUCUCCUUCAUCAAGCCACUACCGGAGCUUCUCGUCUUCUCUGCUUCAUCAAGCCACCACCGUGCUUCUCUGCUUCAUCAAGCCACCACCGGAGCUUCUCUACUUCAUCAAGCCUCCACGGGAGCUUCUCUGAUGCAACGGAUCCAAGUCCAGAACCUCCUGAAGCAAAAAUAACCUGAGAGAAAAUCUGUUGAGAGGCUUGUCCCAUCUUCAUCAGCUUUUUCUUCGCUAUCAGGAACAUGGCUGAGAAAGUACCGUCAUUUAAAACCAGUGGAACUCUUUGGUUUACUGAUCUCACCACUGCAGAUACUACAUAUAUCUUGCCACUUCUCACCGCCAUCAUUUUCAUAAUUAUGGUGGAGUCGAACAUGCAGGAAGGUAUGGAAGGGAAUCCAGUAGCUGGAACUAUGAAGAAAUUCUCAAGAAUCAUUGCCUUUCUCUUUAUUCCAAUUCUGAUGGGCAUUGAAAAGGUAACUAUUACUCUCCCUCCCUCUCUUGACUCUUUGAUGUUGAUAAUAAGCAAUGAUUUUUUUUGGGCAUGCAUUGUUCUGUUACCGGCUCACUUCCAACCUGUUUACUCUUGGGUAUGGAUUA
This is a long non-coding RNA of Brassica oleracea var. oleracea, 663 nucleotides long. RefSeq lists it as uncharacterized. The transcript is spliced from 3 exons. The record is from RefSeq and is a predicted model, not a curated record. Lineage: Eukaryota; Viridiplantae; Streptophyta; Magnoliopsida; Brassicales; Brassicaceae.